AGUACGAGAUGCUACGGCAUCGAGGCAGUCUAUGUCAUACUUCCAAGAAAAGCUUGCACUGUCAUAAACAAAGAAUGCCUGUACCAUAACCGACACAGGUGGGUAGGUAGAGUAUACUAAGGGGCGCGAGAUAACUCUCUCUAAGGAACUCGGCAAAAUGACUCCGUAACUUCGGGAGAAGGAGUGCCUUAUUUCUAAGGUUGCAAUAACAAGAUCCAAGCAACUGUUUACCAAAAACACAGGUCUCCGCUAAGUCGUAAGACGAUGUAUGGGGGCUGACGCCUGCCCAGUGCCAGAAGGUUAAAGAAGUUGGUUAGCAUUAGCGAAGCUGAUAACUGAAGCCCUGGUGAACGGCGGCCGUAACGAUAACGGUCCUAAGGUAGCGAAAUUCCUUGUCGGGUAAGUUCCGACCCGCACGAAAGGCGUAAUGAUUUGGAUACUGUCUCGGAGAGGGGCUCGGUGAAAUAGACUUGUCUGUGAAGACGCGGACUACCUGCACCUGGACAGAAAGACCCUAUGAAGCUUUACUGUAACUUGAGAUUGAAAUUGGACUUUAUUUGCGCAGUAUAGGUGGGAGGCGUUGAGAAUAAUCUUGCGGGAUUGUUGGAGCCAUCAGUGAGAUACCACUCUUGUAAUGUUAGAUUUCUAACUUUGUAUCAUUAUCUGGUCAAAGAACAGUUUCAGGCGGGCAGUUUGACUGGGGCGGUCGCCUCCCAAAGGGUAACGGAGGCGCACAAAGGUUUCCUCUGAACGGGUAGAAAUCGUAUCUAGAGUGUAAAGGCAUAAGGAAGCUUGACUGUGAGACCUACAAGUCGAGCAGGGACGAAAGUCGGUCUUAGUGAUCUGACGGUGCUGAGUGGAAAGGCCGUCACUCAACGGAUAAAAGUUACUCUAAGGAUAACAGGCUGAUCUCCCCCAAGAGUUCACAUCGACGGGGAGGUUUGGCACCUCGAUGUCGGCUCAUCGCAUCCUGGGGCGGUAGUCCGUCCCAAGGGUUGGGCUGUUCGCCCAUGAAAGCGGUACGCGAGCUGGGUUCAGAACGUCGUGAGACAGUUCGGUCCAUAUCCGGUGUAGGCGUUAGAAUAUUGAGAGGAGCCUUCUCUAGUACGAGAGGACCGAGAAGGACAUACCUCUGGUGUACCAGUUAUCGUGCCAACGGUAAACGCUGGGUAGCUAUGUAUGGAGUGGAUAACCGCUGAAAGCAUCUAAGUGGGAAGCCCACCUCAAGAUAAGUAUUCUCACC
Molecule: ribosomal RNA, 1243 nt
Filed under: metagenome
Description: bacterial LSU rRNA
Rfam family: Bacterial large subunit ribosomal RNA
Source: RNAcentral